This 1085-nucleotide ribosomal RNA is filed under the name Cladosporium cladosporioides. RNAcentral describes it as "eukaryotic LSU rRNA". The stretch from base 491 to 1085 matches the Rfam family "Eukaryotic large subunit ribosomal RNA", at positions 1 to 517 of the family's 3401-position model. The record is from RNAcentral. Lineage: Eukaryota; Fungi; Ascomycota; Dothideomycetes; Cladosporiales; Cladosporiaceae.
GUAGGUGACCUGCGGAGGGAUCAUUACAAGUGACCCCGGUCUAACCACCGGGAUGUUCAUAACCCUUUGUUGUCCGACUCUGUUGCCUCCGGGGCGACCCUGCCUUCGGGCGGGGGCUCCGGGUGGACACUUCAAACUCUUGCGUAACUUUGCAGUCUGAGUAAACUUAAUUAAUAAAUUAAAACUUUUAACAACGGAUCUCUUGGUUCUGGCAUCGAUGAAGAACGCAGCGAAAUGCGAUAAGUAAUGUGAAUUGCAGAAUUCAGUGAAUCAUCGAAUCUUUGAACGCACAUUGCGCCCCCUGGUAUUCCGGGGGGCAUGCCUGUUCGAGCGUCAUUUCACCACUCAAGCCUCGCUUGGUAUUGGGCAACGCGGUCCGCCGCGUGCCUCAAAUCGACCGGCUGGGUCUUCUGUCCCCUAAGCGUUGUGGAAACUAUUCGCUAAAGGGUGUUCGGGAGGCUACGCCGUAAAACAACCCCAUUUCUAAGGUUGACCUCGGAUCAGGUAGGGAUACCCGCUGAACUUAAGCAUAUCAAUAAGCGGAGGAAAAGAAACCAACAGGGAUUGCUCUAGUAACGGCGAGUGAAGCAGCAAUAGCUCAAAUUUGAAAUCUGGCGUCUUCGACGUCCGAGUUGUAAUUUGUAGAGGAUGCUUCUGAGUAACCACCGACCUAAGUUCCUUGGAACAGGACGUCAUAGAGGGUGAGAAUCCCGUAUGCGGUCGGAAAGGUGCUCUAUACGUAGCUCCUUCGACGAGUCGAGUUGUUUGGGAAUGCAGCUCUAAAUGGGAGGUAAAUUUCUUCUAAAGCUAAAUAUUGGCCAGAGACCGAUAGCGCACAAGUAGAGUGAUCGAAAGAUGAAAAGCACUUUGGAAAGAGAGUUAAAAAGCACGUGAAAUUGUUAAAAGGGAAGGGAUUGCAACCAGACUUGCUCGCGGUGUUCCGCCGGUCUUCUGACCGGUCUACUCGCCGCGUUGCAGGCCAGCAUCGUCUGGUGCCGCUGGAUAAGACUUGAGGAAUGUAGCUCCCUCGGGAGUGUUAUAGCCUCUUGUGAUGCAGCGAGCGCCGGGCGAGGUCCGCGCUUCGG